CCUCAAAACCCCAGGCUCAAAUGCCCGUUCCUCGUCUCAACACCCAUCGACGGCCGCAAUCGGAGAACAAAUCCAUUGUAAACCCUCUCAACCAAAUUCAUUGUCGAAUGGUUUCUCAUUCUCAUUUCAUCCAUUGAGGUACCUUACCCUCACUGUAAAUUAGUUCUCUGGAGCUCUUUCAAGCUGAACUAGGUUUUGAGGGCAUGCCAAUAAUCCUCUGAGGCUCCUUCGAGUCCAGCUGCUGGUGAAGCUUAUGAAUUGGGGUUUGGGGAUCCUAUUGCUAUAUCUGCAGAGACUGGCCUUGGUAUGGCAGAACUUUAUGAAGCUCUUAGGCCUUUGCUUGAGGAACAUAUGCUCCAGGUCUUAGAUGUUUCAGGUGGGGCACUUCCCCCUCCUGGGCAUAAGGUGGCUCUGCCACAGGAUAUUGUAAUGCUUUGGGGUGCAGUUAGGUCUGUGGUUUGUAUCUUUUGAUAUCCUUUUAUAUGUAUAAGGAAAAUCUUGAUUUCCUAGAGAGACAGAGUGUGGAUUUUGGAAGGCAAUGGGAUUGUGUAUCCUACUUCUGAAUCAAACUGGUAGCGGUGUUGCUUGCAUGAUUUACAUUUGGGAUAUAAGAAAUGAGAGUGAAGCUGGUUGCUAGCGAGCAUGAUUUUCAUUGCGGCUUAAACCCUUCGAGCUUAAGCUUUUAAGAAAAUCGGUACUUCAAAAUGGUAUGCAUUUGGUGGGUCAUGUUUUCAAACUUCAUCUAAUGUUUAGAUUUCCAAUUUAUUGAGUGUAAUCCCAAAGGAGGCUGUUUGUUUAUGGGUCUAUCACCUAUGUGGGCUUAUGCAUCUCUUCAUGCAUGGGUUUGUAUCUCUCCAUGCAUGGGUAUGGGUUUGUAUGUGA
Molecule: long non-coding RNA, 882 nt
Organism: Vitis riparia (riverbank grape)
Lineage: Eukaryota; Viridiplantae; Streptophyta; Magnoliopsida; Vitales; Vitaceae
Exons: 4
Source: RefSeq, a predicted model, not a curated record